Molecule: ribosomal RNA, 480 nt
Filed under: Sagittula sp.
Lineage: Bacteria; Pseudomonadati; Pseudomonadota; Alphaproteobacteria; Rhodobacterales; Roseobacteraceae
Description: bacterial SSU rRNA
Rfam family: Bacterial small subunit ribosomal RNA
Source: RNAcentral
AAAGCCACGCGCCGAACCUGACCAACCCUUGACAUCCUGUGCUAACCCGAGAGAUCGGGCGCUCACUUCGGCGACGCAGUGACAGGUGCGGCAUGUGCUGUCGUCAGCUAGUUUCGUGCAGAUGUUCGCAUACGUCCGGCAACGAGCGCAACACCACAUCCUUCAUUGUCAGCAGUUCGGCUGGGCACUAUAAGGAAAAUGCCCGUGAUAAGCCGGAGUGAACGUGUGGCAUGACGUCAAGUCCUCCUCGCCCGACCGAGUUNCGCUACCCACGUGAUACAAGACCAGUGAUCAAUAGCUUAAUCCCAAAAAGCUGUCUCAGUUCGGAUUGGAGUCUGCAACUCGACUCCAUGAAGUCGGAAUCGCUAGUAAUCGCGUAUCAGCAUGACGCGGUGAAUACGUUCCCGGGCCUUGGACACCCCGCCCGUCCCCCCCUUGGAAUUGGUUUGCACAGAAGGCGCUGCGCUAACCUUCGGGAGC